RNAcentral lists this non-coding RNA (140 nucleotides) under uncultured Acetatifactor sp. RNAcentral describes it as "FMN riboswitch (RFN element)". It matches the Rfam family "FMN riboswitch aptamer (RFN element)". Rfam says of the family: The RFN element is a highly conserved domain that is found frequently in the 5'-untranslated regions of prokaryotic mRNAs that encode for flavin mononucleotide (FMN) biosynthesis and transport proteins. Lineage: Bacteria; Bacillati; Bacillota; Clostridia; Lachnospirales; Lachnospiraceae. The record is from RNAcentral.
UUCUUCGGGGUUGGGUGUAAUUCCCUACUGGCGGUAAAGUCCGCGACCCAUGGCAGACGAAACCUGCGAAAGCGGGACAGAUGUCAUGGCUGACUCGGUGAAAGUCCGGGACCAACAGUAAAGUCUGGAUGAAAGAAGAA